This is a long non-coding RNA of Chenopodium quinoa (quinoa), 2147 nucleotides long. RefSeq lists it as uncharacterized. The record is from RefSeq and is a predicted model, not a curated record. Lineage: Eukaryota; Viridiplantae; Streptophyta; Magnoliopsida; Caryophyllales; Amaranthaceae. The transcript is spliced from 2 exons.
UAAGCUUCAGUUCAAUUAGUAAUUCAAGCUUAUUAUUUGCUUUUUAAUUUUUACAUUACCUCUAAUUUCACUUGAAUUAGCAUAGCUUGUUCUGUUCACUCGGAUGUACCUAGGACAUUUUUGUAAUUACGUCUAGUAAUUAACAUGUGACUCACGCAUGGCUCCCUCCUUUUGCUUUCAAUUUGGCUUUGUUCUCUGUACUCUCUCUUCUUCUUCAAAAUUAAAACGCAAAAUUUUAGCAAUUCUUCAAAAAAUCAUUCAAAUUGAAGAUUUAUUUUACAAUUAUUGAAGCUUUGAAGUACAUAAACUAAACAAAAAAAAAAAAAAAAUCAAAAGCUUGUGUUGCUUAUUAAUGGCGGUAUUGAAUCUAUUGCAAAUGAUCCUCUUCAAAAAUCAUUCAACAAUCUAAUCCAGAAGAUCAAAUGUAUGUAUAAUUGGACAACCUAUACAGAGAAGCUGUAGAAUCAGAGCUACUUGGUUUCAAUACAAUUGAAAAAGCAUUCAAAAUUGGUAAUUUCGAGUAUGUUGGUAUUGGUUUGCUUAUUUGUGAAAUGAGCAAAAUUGGUUUACUUAUUUGUGAAAUGAGCAAAAUUGGUUUUUGCUUAUUUGUGAAAUGAGCAAAAUUGAUUUGCUGAUUUGUGAAAUGAGCAACAUAGUUUUGCUCAUUUGACCAAAUUGAUCAAGGAAAUAAGGCAGCAUGUACCAUUGCGAGCACUUUGAUAGAUGCUCCAAAUGAGUCUUUUAGGAACCAAAUUGUUAUGGCUUACCUGAAAGCGUAAUGUUAAGGUGUUGAUGUCCCUUAGUGCACUAAUGUAAGUUUCAUGGCAUUAUAUUUAAUAAUGGGAUACCUAUGUAAUGGUUGCAGUGGGUUUUUCAUGCCUUGUGAAGGAGUAUAGAAGGUAUUCAAGGCGGGUAUUUGCCCCGAAGUGUGCUGCUGCUCGUACAAUUGCAAAACCUGCUGAUGUGCAAUCUGGCACAGUUAACAUCAUAGUAUGUGAGGGUUCCUACAUAGGGACUAUUACAAAUGGACCAGGGGCUGCUGCAACUAGCGCUAGUCCAAGUGCAGCAGUGUUGAACUUGUGCCUUUUGCUUGUUACUGUUGUUAGACCUGGUCUUCUGGGGUGCGUUAAACUACUUUGUAAUCUCAUUUGCUUGUAUAGAACAGAAACAAAAAUUUGAGAUCACUAAUCCAAGUAUAAAGUAUGUGAGAUGUUUAAUUUUUUUUUUUUUUUUUUGUUUUUUUUUUUUUGUUUAUUAUUAUCAAAGGAGCAUUAAUUCUUGUUUUAGGGUUGAGGUGGAAUCUAUUAGCCAUGUAUUGUUUGAUUGUGAUAAUGUUAUAUGCAUUUGGGAGCAUAGUGAUUUUUCAGAUUUGAUUCAGGUUGUGGCUGGUAUGGAUCAUGUGCCUAGACUACUAUGGUAUGCAAACAGGCUGAAGAGAGGUGAAUUUCGAAAACUAAUGACAAAUUGCUGGGCAGUGUGGUUCUGUAGAAACUACUUUGUUCAUGAACAAAUUAAUCUCAAUCCAGGGAUUACAUCCAAAGGUUUAGUGCAAUUGGUUGAUGACUAUCGUUUUUACUCAGAGCUCGUCAGAAGCACUACAACAAGUCCUGCUCGUUGUAUAUCUUCUGCAAGUUGGUUUGUAUCUCCUGAAGGGGUAAUAAAAAUAAACAUUGAUGCUCACAUUGCAAGAUCAAGCUAUAUGGGGUUAGGUGCUGUUGUUAGAAGCCAUGAGGGGAAGCUACUGCUCGCUGCAGUAAAAAGGGUGAAGGGGUCUUGACCUGCUGCUAAUGCGAGGUUGCUGUUGUUUGCUACGGGCUACAGUUGGUGAGAAGACUCGGCUACAACAAUGUAUGGGUGGAGUCAGAUGCUUUGGAGGUGGUUCAAGCCAUUAACAAGCAAGCUUGUGGAAUAUGCCCGUGUUUUUUUUAUCUAUGAGGAUAUUUAAAUGUUAGCUAAUUAUGUUAAUGUAAUUGCUUUUAUUCAUUUAAGGAGAACGGGCAAUACCACUGCUCAUCUUGUUUCAAGAUGGGACACAAACGGGUGUUCGGAGUUAGAGUGUAUGAACAACUUUCCCCAAAGUAUCCAAACUUUGGUGGACUUCGAUUUGGAAUAAUAUUGCCUUCUCACCUUUCCCUUUAAAAAAAAAA